Molecule: ribosomal RNA, 351 nt
Filed under: Triticum aestivum (bread wheat)
Lineage: Eukaryota; Viridiplantae; Streptophyta; Magnoliopsida; Poales; Poaceae
Description: partial small subunit ribosomal RNA
Source: RNAcentral
AUGAACUUAGUCCUGAUAGUUUUUGCAUAUCUAUGUUGUAGAUCAAUGGCCCGUGCUACCGUUCCCUUGAAUUUUAAUGUGUUCCUAGAGAAAGCUAAGUUGAAAGAUGAUGGUAGCAACUACACGGACUGGGUCCAUAACUUGAGGAUUAUCCUCAUUGCUGCACAUAAGAAUUAUGUCCUUGAUGCACCGCUAGGUGAAAGGCCUGCUGCAGGAGCAGAUGCUGACAUUAUGAACGUCUGGCAAGGUCAAUCUGAUGACUACUCGAUAAUUAAGUGUGCCAUGCUUUACGGCUUAGAAUCGGGAUUUCAAAGAUGUUUUGAACGUCAUGGACCAUAUGAGAUGUUCUAG